RNAcentral lists this small RNA (371 nucleotides) under Arabidopsis thaliana (thale cress). Its description in RNAcentral is "ATSL207640". The record is from RNAcentral. Lineage: Eukaryota; Viridiplantae; Streptophyta; Magnoliopsida; Brassicales; Brassicaceae.
AAAAAGGGUUUACAGAAUAAUUCUUUGAAUGUAGAACACAAGAGGCAAAGAUCCACCUUAAACAGUCUUAUACAAAAUGAAAGAGAAAGGGAGAGAGAUGGUCAUCUUCGAGCUGAAGAGGUGCGGCGGCGAGUUGGCAGCUCUCGGCGAUGACUAGGGUUUUCUUGUGAUGAAGGCACACCUAGGGUUAGGGCUUAGAACAAGUAUUUAUACUUGAGAGCCAAGAAUUAGGGUUAGGGGUAAGAACGUCAAUCCGCCGGAUAAGUAAGUGAUCAGGCCGAGUAGUGGGCUUCAGGGGAGGAGCCUAAUGACGGUGGCACAAAGAUAGAAGGACUUGUGGAUGACUUAAUGGUCGGUGGAAAGCUUCUCGG